AGAGUUUGAUCAUGGCUCAGAACGAACGCUGGCGGCAUGCCUAACACAUGCAAGUCGAACGCUCCCGGGGCUUCGGUCUUGGGGGAGUGGCGCACGGGUGAGUAGCGCGUGGGAACCUGCCCUGUUGUGGGGGAUAACCGAGGGAAACUUCGGCUAAUACCGCAUAAGCCGGCUGUCUUGAGAGAGAUGGCCGGGAAAGAUUUAUCGCGACAGGAGGGGCCCGCGUCGGAUUAGGUAGUUGGCGGGGUAACGGCCCACCAAGCCGGUGAUCCGUAGCUGGUCUGAGAGGAUGAUCAGCCACACUGGGACUGAGACACGGCCCAGACUCCUACGGGAGGCAGCAGUGGGGAAUAUUGGACAAUGGGCGCAAGCCUGAUCCAGCAAUGCCGCGUGAGUGAUGAAGGCCUUAGGGUUGUAAAGCUCUUUCGCCCGCGACGAUGAUGACGGUAGCGGGAGAAGAAGCCCCGGCUAACUUCGUGCCAGCAGCCGCGGUAAUACGAAGGGGGCGAGCGUUGUUCGGAAUCACUGGGCGUAAAGGGCGCGUAGGCGGCCCUCCUUGUCGCGUGUGAAAGCCCCGGGCUCAACCUGGGAACGGCGCGCGAGACGGGGGGGCUGGAGUUCGGGAGAGGAGCGUGGAAUUCCCAGUGUAGAGGUGAAAUUCGUAGAUAUUGGGAAGAACACCGGUGGCGAAGGCGGCGCUCUGGACCGAGACUGACGCUGAGGCGCGAAAGCGUGGGGAGCAAACAGGAUUAGAUACCCCAGUAGUCC
RNAcentral lists this ribosomal RNA (768 nucleotides) under uncultured bacterium. RNAcentral describes it as "bacterial SSU rRNA". It matches the Rfam family "Bacterial small subunit ribosomal RNA", at positions 8 to 796 of the family's 1533-position model. The record is from RNAcentral.